Molecule: long non-coding RNA, 304 nt
Filed under: Brassica napus (rape)
Lineage: Eukaryota; Viridiplantae; Streptophyta; Magnoliopsida; Brassicales; Brassicaceae
Description: long non-coding RNA (BNAP_LNC024178)
Source: RNAcentral
CCAACUCGAUCGUAAGAACAUCUCCUCUGGCUGGUGACAUCCCUUCCAAGGCCACAAAUACAUCUCCAUACUCUGAGAUAACUAGAAGAUCCUGCAACUCAUGUCGACCAUCGAAAUGAUCACCAAAAUCCAUUUACUCCCCAUAUCCAAUAACUCCUCUGCAUGUAGCAUGUAUGCAAAUAAAAUCUGCUCUGCUCCAGAAAAGUGAACUCUUGCCCUCAGGCAAUCCAACAGUACUCGAUGUCGUGAUAACAAGCCCAUCCCAAGAAUGAUAUCGCAAAACACAACUCCAUCUCUAACGAGU